RNAcentral lists this non-coding RNA (97 nucleotides) under bovine gut metagenome. Its description in RNAcentral is "THF riboswitch". It matches the Rfam family "THF (Tetrahydrofolate) riboswitch aptamer". From Rfam's summary of the family: THF riboswitch presents a pseudoknot that joins P1-P2 and the loop of P3 and two THF binding. The record is from RNAcentral.
CAGAGUAGAUACCUGUGCGUUAAGUGCCUGCCGGACGGGGAGUUGCCGGUGGGACGAAAAGGGUCAAACCCUUGCGGUGCAGGUGUCGCAUCCCGCU